Podarcis lilfordi (Lilford's wall lizard) is the source of this 66-nucleotide non-coding RNA. NCBI's taxonomy places the organism in Eukaryota, Metazoa, Chordata, Lepidosauria, Squamata, Lacertidae. The record is from the annotation of a GenBank genome assembly.
ACAGCUCAGUGGUGGAGCAUCAGCUUUACAUGCAUAAGAUCCUGGGUUCAAUCCCCAGCAUCUCUA